UCUAAUCAUGGAUAGGAACUCAAGACGAUCAAAAGGAGUUGGGUAUGCGCUCUCUUAUAGCAUAAUUUAUUCUUCAUGUGCAUGCACAAUUGUGGUAUUAGGUAUCAACUUUCAAGAAUUAUGUUUAAUUGUAUUCUUAAAUGGACUAGCAAUGCGAUAAUGAUGAGGGAUGAUGGGAAUACCUUGGACUCAUGUUUAAUCAAUUCAUGUUGCGUACUGAAGUUCUGAAAACUUGAUUCAUG
RNAcentral lists this small RNA (242 nucleotides) under Vigna angularis var. angularis. RNAcentral's name for it is "Non-protein coding transcript". The record is from RNAcentral. Lineage: Eukaryota; Viridiplantae; Streptophyta; Magnoliopsida; Fabales; Fabaceae.